Zea mays is the source of this 1815-nucleotide RNA transcript. RefSeq lists it as uncharacterized. The transcript has 9 exons. The record is from RefSeq and is marked validated. NCBI's taxonomy places the organism in Eukaryota, Viridiplantae, Streptophyta, Magnoliopsida, Poales, Poaceae.
GCUGCGCCGUAGCGCUAGUGCCGCCGCCCGCUCACCCUCAUCCCCUAGGCCUCCACUUCUCUGAUUGGGGCGACUUCAUGGCGAGCGGGCACAAAUCCGACAUGGGCGCCUCUGCUCCGACGACCGCUCUCUCCUCUGCGCCUCCACUGCCCCUCUCCCUGUUAGGCGGCGACAGCAAGGAGGAGGAGGAGGAAGGGUUGGCUGGGCCACCGUCGGCACCACGCGAGGCACGAGCGCAACCGCGCCUAUGAGUUCCAUAGCUCCGAGCCGUCGACGCUAGGCGGCAGUGCCCUCGUCUGGACCUGCCCGCGCCCAGGCGGAGCCGCCGCCGACCCGAGAUCUGCCUAGGUCGCCCGCCUGCUCUGGAUGACCAAGGUCACCUCCGCGGACGCUGAGCAGCUGAGCUCCUCCCGCGAAGGCGUGAACCCGCCCCCAGCCGAGGCACUGAGCUCCGCCCUGCCCCGCUCGGGCGUGCCCCUGCACAGGCCCAGCCGCCUCGCUCCUGUUUGCCGCCACGGUUCCAGUAACGACGAGGCUGAGCGACAACUCCAGUGUCCCGAUGUUGAAUAAGUGAAGUGGAUGAGUCAGAUGGUGGAGGAGACAGUGUGUAGGAGCAGCCUGUUUAUGUGGCCGUAGUGGAUCUCGCAUGUUCCGAAGAGUUCCUGGAACUCAUCAAGAGUGCACUUCUUACAGCCCUAGAAGCCUGUUUGUGAGCUUGGUAUUCCUCCUGAAAACAUCACUGCAAACCAAUUGUUAUUUGGCACAUUGAGGGAGUACGCCGGAUUUGAUCCCACAGAGCCCACUUCACGCAGUGGGGGUAAAGCAAAAGCAGUGCAGCAAAUAAAAUAGGACCAUGGCUACAAGACAAUUGUUACAAUUGGUGAUGGCGCAACUGAUCUGGAGGCUCGGCAACCUGGCGGAGCAGACUGUGUGCCGCCAGAGCUAGUGGAGGGAGGCGGGUCAUUCGAUUCGCCAUGCUUAGGAUUGGAGAAUCAAUAGAGUAAUAGUAUAUACAUGGUGGGGAGUGAAACCAACAGAGGAAGAAUCCGUUCUUGAUCAAAAUUAGUCGACUGCUUGGUUCGUCGUCUGCGUGUUCGAUCGGAGGUUGGCGACGCCUUGGCGUGGGCGCUUUCCGCAAGAAAGCAAGGAAAUUGGUCGGCUUCUACGCUACCAGUCCGGUCCACUUCGUUCACCUUUCCCUUUCGGUGCCACCAACAUCUAACUGUACAUGCAUGCUUGCUUAGUGCUGACCGCCGCUAAUGCGCUGGAUAUUUCUGGGAGUGGAAACGAAAGUGUACUCUGAAUUUCAAGUUCCUGUCAAAAGUAAGAUCCUCUGACGAAGGUGUGGUUGUGAUCAUGCAUAAACUAACUGUUGCUGCCACAUGGAUUGGAGAGGGAGAUCGAUCCACAGAAAAUGGUAUCAUUUGUCAAGUGCAUGUUAGGACUUGAUGCUGUUGUUUGGGACAUUAUUGGGUCGUCAUUGUUGGAGAAAGUUGUGUAUCUACUUACAGAAUUGGAUGUUAAUAUAACAUGGGAAGAUAUUCUUCAAGAUGAACACAACAAAGGUAUAUUUGACAUGGAGCUUGAGGAUUUGGCUGAGGAUGAACAUAACCUUGGCCGCACAAGUGUAGAGACUUGAAUUCAUAUAUACUUAGUUAGGCUCAAUGUUAGCAUAAACAGUUGAUGAGCAAGUUUUCCCAUUAGUAUUUUAGUUUGAAUUUAGAGUACAAUUAUGUAUGAGUUAUUUGAUAAUGCUUAUUUAUGAGAUAUUGAAUGGUGUUUAUCUAUAUUGUAUUAAUUAUAGUGUUAUUAAAU